GGAAUAUUGGACAAUGGGCGAAAGCCUGAUCCAGCCAUGCCGCGUGUGUGAAGAAGGUCUUCGGAUUGUAAAGCACUUUAAGUUGGGAGGAAGGGCAGUAAAUUAAUACUUUGCUGUUUUGACGUUACCGACAGAAUAAGCACCGGCUAACUCUGUGCCAGCAGCCGCGGUAAUACAGAGGGUGCAAGCGUUAAUCGGAAUUACUGGGCGUAAAGCGCGCGUAGGUGGUUUGUUAAGUUGAAUGUGAAAUCCCCGGGCUCAACCUGGGAACUGCAUCCAAAACUGGCAAGCUAGAGUAGGGCAGAGGGUGGUGGAAUUUCCUGUGUAGCGGUGAAAUGCGUAGAUAUAGGAAGGAACACCAGUGGCGAAGGCGACCACCUGGGCUCAUACUGACACUGAGGUGCGAAAGCGUGGGGAGCAAACAGGAUUAGAUACCCCAG
RNAcentral lists this ribosomal RNA (440 nucleotides) under uncultured Pseudomonas sp. RNAcentral describes it as "bacterial SSU rRNA". It matches the Rfam family "Bacterial small subunit ribosomal RNA", at positions 358 to 790 of the family's 1533-position model. Lineage: Bacteria; Pseudomonadati; Pseudomonadota; Gammaproteobacteria; Pseudomonadales; Pseudomonadaceae. The record is from RNAcentral.